AAGAUCCAGUUUCUGGACUAAUUGUACGAACUCAGAGCCGAAUGUCUUAAAAAUCCUGCACAGAAGAAUGCAUGAGUCUCCAUGUGGAAGUCAAGAACAGGUCAGGAUCUCUGAGCUUCAGAAGACUGAAACCAAC
Long non-coding RNA from Suricata suricatta (meerkat), 136 nucleotides. RefSeq lists it as uncharacterized. Lineage: Eukaryota; Metazoa; Chordata; Mammalia; Carnivora; Herpestidae. The transcript has 3 exons. The record is from RefSeq and is a predicted model, not a curated record.